GUCUUUUUGGUAAUUAAUAUAAAGUCUGACCUGCCCACUGAAUAUUGUUUGAAGGGCCGCAGUAUUUUGACUGUGCAAAGGUAGCAUAAUCAUUAGUCUUUUAAUUGAAGGCUGGUAUGAAUGGUUGGAUGAGAUACAAGCUGUGUCAUAAAAAUUAAUAUUUGAAUUUAACUUUUUAGUCAAAAGGCUAAAAUAUAAUUAAAAGACGAGAAGACCCUAUAGAGCUUUAUAUAUCUGAUAUUUAAUUUAUUUAGAUUUUUUAAAUUUAAUUGUUAAUUUAUAUUUUGUUGGGGUGACAAUAAAAUUUAUAAAACUUUUAUUAUUAAUUUACAUUAAUUUAUGAAUAAAUGAUCCAGUUUUAUUGAUUAUAAAUUUAAGUUACCUUAGGGAUAACAGCGUAAUUUUUUUUGAGAGUUCUUAUCGACAAAAAAGAUUGCGACCUCGAUGUUGGAUUAAGAGUAAUUUUGGGUGUAGAAGUUCAAAAUUUAAGUCUGUUCGACUUUUAAAUUCUUACAU
This 516-nucleotide ribosomal RNA is filed under the name Simulium oblongum. Its description in RNAcentral is "partial 16S ribosomal RNA". It matches the Rfam family "Bacterial large subunit ribosomal RNA", at positions 1825 to 2601 of the family's 2925-position model. Lineage: Eukaryota; Metazoa; Arthropoda; Insecta; Diptera; Simuliidae. The record is from RNAcentral.